GCUAGGUGUGGUAGCUCGCACCUGUGGUCUCAGCUAUUCUGGAGGCUGAGGUGGGAGUAUCACUUGAGCCCAGGAAGUUGAGGCUGCAGUGAGCUAUGAUCACGCCACUGCACUCCAACCUGGGCAACAAAGUGAGACCCUAUCUCCA
This is an unclassified non-coding RNA of Pongo abelii (Sumatran orangutan), 148 nucleotides long. It matches the Rfam family "Metazoan signal recognition particle RNA". From Rfam's summary of the family: The signal recognition particle (SRP) is a universally conserved ribonucleoprotein. It is involved in the co-translational targeting of proteins to membranes. Lineage: Eukaryota; Metazoa; Chordata; Mammalia; Primates; Hominidae. The record is from Ensembl.